UAGAAAGUCCUCAUCUUUUCUCUGCCCACAC
This 31-nucleotide non-coding RNA is filed under the name Mus musculus (house mouse). The record is from RNAcentral. Lineage: Eukaryota; Metazoa; Chordata; Mammalia; Rodentia; Muridae.